RNAcentral lists this ribosomal RNA (253 nucleotides) under uncultured bacterium. RNAcentral describes it as "partial 16S ribosomal RNA". It matches the Rfam family "Bacterial small subunit ribosomal RNA", at positions 524 to 776 of the family's 1533-position model. The record is from RNAcentral.
UACGUAGGGUGCGAGCGUUAAUCGGAAUUACUGGGCGUAAAGCGCGCGCAGGCGGUUUUGUAAGCCAGAUGUGAAAUCCCCGGGCUCAACCUGGGAAUGGCAUUUGGGACUGCAAGGCUCGAGUGCGGCAGAGGAGACUGGAAUUCCUGGUGUAGCAGUGAAAUGCGUAGAUAUCAGGAGGAAUACCGAUGGCGAAGGCAGGUCUCUGGGCUGACACUGACGCUCAUGCACGAAAGCGUGGGGAGCAAACAGG